Molecule: ribosomal RNA, 468 nt
Filed under: uncultured bacterium
Lineage: Bacteria
Description: partial 16S ribosomal RNA
Rfam family: Bacterial small subunit ribosomal RNA
Source: RNAcentral
GACGAACGCUGGCGGCGUGCUUAACACAUGCAAGUCGAACGGAAAGACCCUGCUUUUGUGGGGUGCUCGAGUGGCGAACGGGUGAGUAACACGUGAGUAACCUGCCCUUGACUUUGGGAUAACUUCAGGAAACUGGGGCUAAUACCGGAUAGGAGCUCCUGCUGCAUGGUGGGGGUUGGAAAGUUUCGGCGGUUGGGGAUGGACUCGCGGCUUAUCAGCUUGUUGGUGGGGUAGUGGCUUACCAAGGCUUUGACGGGUAGCCGGCCUGAGAGGGUGACCGGCCACAUUAGGACUGAGAUACGGCCCAGACUCCUACGGGAGGCAGCAGUGGGGAAUAUUGCCCAAUGGGCGGAAGCCUGAUGCAGCAACGCCGCGUGCGGGAUGACGGCCUUCGGGUUGUAAACCGCUUUCGCCUGUGACGAAGCGUGAGUGACGGUAAUGGGUAAAGAAGCACCGGCUAACUACGUG